UUUUGGGGGGAUAUGGAUUUUUGGGGAAUUUUGAGGAUUUUUUGGGGGAUUUGGAUUUUUGGGGAUUUUUGAGGAUUUUUAGGGGGAUUUGGGAUUUUUGGGAUUUUUUUUUAUUUUUGGGGGAUUUUUUUGGGAUUAUUUUGGGGAGAUUUGGGAUUUUUGGGGGAUUUUUAGGGGAUUUUUUUUGCAUUUUUGGGGGGGAUUUGGGUUUUUUAAUGGAAUUUGGGAUUUUUUAGUGAAGAAUUUUUUUGGGAUUUGGGAUUUUUUGGGGUUUUUUUGGGAUUUGGGAUUUUUGGGAUUUUUUGGGGGAAUUUUUUGAGGGGAUUUUGGGGAUUUUUUUUGGAAUAUUUGGGAUUUUUUUUUAAUUUUUGGGGAAUUUUUGGGAUUUUUUGGGAAUUCUUUGAGAUUUGGGGGGAAUUUUUGGGAAUUCUUUGGGAAUUCUUUGGGAAUUUUUUUGGAAUUUUUGGGAUUUUUUUUGGGAAUUUUUGGGAUUUUUUUGAGAGUUUUUUUGGAAUUUUUGGGAUUUUUUGGGAAUUUUUUGAGAUUUGGGGGAAUUUUUGGGAAUUCUUUGGGAAUUUGGGAAUUCUUUGGGAAUUUUGGGGAAUUUUUUUGGAAUUUUUGGGAUUUUUUUUAAUUUUUGGGGAAUUUUUGGGAUU
RNAcentral lists this long non-coding RNA (656 nucleotides) under Cyanistes caeruleus (blue tit). RNAcentral describes it as "lncRNA (ENSCCEG00000005570.1)". The record is from RNAcentral. Lineage: Eukaryota; Metazoa; Chordata; Aves; Passeriformes; Paridae.